This 253-nucleotide ribosomal RNA is filed under the name uncultured bacterium. Its description in RNAcentral is "partial 16S ribosomal RNA". It matches the Rfam family "Bacterial small subunit ribosomal RNA", at positions 524 to 776 of the family's 1533-position model. The record is from RNAcentral.
UACGUAGGGGGCUAGCGUUGUCCGGAAUCAUUGGGCGUAAAGAGCGCGUAGGCGGCUAGUUAAGUCCGGUGUGAAAGUCACAGGCUCAACCUGUGAAUGCCGCUGGAAACUGUGUGACUAGAGUUCUGGAGGGGUAGCUGGAAUUCCAGGUGUAGGGGUGAAAUCUGUAGAUAUCUGGAAGAACAUCAGUGGCGAAGGCGAGCUACUAGCCAAGGACUGACGCUGAGACACGAAAGCGUGGGGAGCAAACAGG